Molecule: unclassified non-coding RNA, 284 nt
Filed under: Hevea brasiliensis (rubber tree)
Lineage: Eukaryota; Viridiplantae; Streptophyta; Magnoliopsida; Malpighiales; Euphorbiaceae
Source: RNAcentral
GUUCCUGUCUCUUAAUUAAUAACUGUACUUAGAAACGCCAUUGUCCACAGCAAACUAGUCUUAGUAUAAAAUCUAUUUAACCAAUAUAUCUAAACAUCAUUAAGCACAUAUCAAAACAGAAGCAGUUUCAGUAUUUUAGACAUGCACCAACCCUAGCAUUGCUAUGGAUUGACCUAUUGUAACAUGAAUUUGAAGCAUUUCUAAUAAAAGUUAAAGAUCACAAAAACCAAUUCUUGUCAUGCAAUGUCUAAAAGCAACUGCAGUUUAAAAAUUUCAAAUAUUUU